RNAcentral lists this ribosomal RNA (468 nucleotides) under uncultured bacterium. RNAcentral describes it as "partial 16S ribosomal RNA". It matches the Rfam family "Bacterial small subunit ribosomal RNA", at positions 28 to 507 of the family's 1533-position model. The record is from RNAcentral.
GACGAACGCUGGCGGCGUGCUUAACACAUGCAAGUCGAACGGAAAGGCCCUGCUUUUGUGGGGUGCUCGAGUGGCGAACGGGUGAGUAACACGUGAGUAACCUGCCCUUGACUUUGGGAUAGCUUCAGGAAACUGGGGCUAAUACCGGAUAGGAGCUCCUGCUACAUGGUGGGGGUUGGAAAGUUUCGGCGGUUGGGGAUGGACUCGCGGCUUAUCAGCUUGUUGGUGGGGUAGUGGCUUACCAAGGCUUUGACGGGUAGCCGGCCUGAGAGGGUGACCGGCCACAUUGGGACUGAGAUACGGCCCAGACUCCUACGGGAGGCAGCAGUGGGGAAUAUUGCACAAUGGGCGGAAGCCUGAUGCAGCAACGCCGCGUGCGGGAUGACGGCCUUCGGGUUGUAAACCGCUUUCGCCUGUGACGAAGCGUGAGUGACGGUAAUGGGUAAAGAAGCACCGGCUAACUACGUG